GCUCGAGGUAGCUGGACGAGUGA
This 23-nucleotide non-coding RNA is filed under the name Arabidopsis thaliana (thale cress). Lineage: Eukaryota; Viridiplantae; Streptophyta; Magnoliopsida; Brassicales; Brassicaceae. The record is from RNAcentral.